GAGUUUGAUCAUGGCUCAGGAUGAACGCUAGCGGGAGGCUUAACACACGCAAGUCGAGGGGUAUAAGUAGCAAUAUUUAGAGACCGGCGCACGGGUGAGUAACGCGUAUGCAACCUGCCCUUUACUGGGGGAUAGCCCGUAGAAAUGCGGAUUGAUACCCCAUAGUUCUGAGAAGCCGCAUGGUUUUUCAGAUAAAGUUUCGGUGGUAAAGGAUGGGCAUGCGUGACAUUAGCUAGUUGGUAGGGUAACGGCCUACCAAGGCUGCGAUGUCUAGGGGUUCUGAGAGGAAGAUCCCCCACACUGGUACUGAGACACGGACCAGACUCCUACGGGAGGCAGCAGUGAGGAAUAUUGGUCAAUGGGCGAGAGCCUGAACCAGCCAUCCCGCGUGCAGGAAGAAUGCCCUAUGGGUUGUAAACUGCUUUUUCGCAUGAAGAACACCUUUGGCGUGUCAGAGGCUAACGGUAAUGCGUGAAUAAGCACCGGCUAACUCCGUGCCAGCAGCCGCGGUAAUACGGAGGGUGCAAGCGUUAUCCGGAUUUAUUGGGUUUAAAGGGUGCGUAGGCGGCUAUUUAAGUCAGUGGUGAAAUCCUGCAGCUCAACUGUAGAACAGCCAUUGAAACUGAAAAGCUUGAGUAAUCUUGAGG
Molecule: ribosomal RNA, 647 nt
Filed under: uncultured bacterium
Lineage: Bacteria
Description: bacterial SSU rRNA
Rfam family: Bacterial small subunit ribosomal RNA
Source: RNAcentral